RNAcentral lists this non-coding RNA (21 nucleotides) under Arabidopsis thaliana (thale cress). The record is from RNAcentral. Lineage: Eukaryota; Viridiplantae; Streptophyta; Magnoliopsida; Brassicales; Brassicaceae.
CGCGAUGACCAAUUGUGCGAA